This 72-nucleotide transfer RNA is filed under the name Camelus bactrianus (Bactrian camel). It matches the Rfam family "tRNA". Rfam says of the family: Transfer RNA (tRNA) molecules are approximately 80 nucleotides in length. Their secondary structure includes four short double-helical elements and three loops (D, anti-codon, and T loops). The record is from Rfam by way of RNAcentral. RNAcentral also lists the same sequence under 2 other names. Lineage: Eukaryota; Metazoa; Chordata; Mammalia; Artiodactyla; Camelidae.
GAAGGUGCAGCUCAGGGGCAGAGCGUGUGCUUAGCACACACAAGAUCCUGGGUUCAAACCCCAGUGCCUCCA